GCCCCCCUACGGGGCGCAGCAGUAGGGGGUCUUCCACAAUGGACGAAAGUCUGAUGGAGCAACGCCGCGUGAGUGAAGAAGGGUUUCGGCUCGUAAAGCUCUGUUGGUAGUGAAGAAAGAUAGAGGUAGUAACUGGCCUUUAUUUGACGGUAAUUACUUAGAAAGUCACGGCUAACUACGUGCCAGCAGCCGCGGUAAUACGUAGGUGGCAAGCGUUGUCCGGAUUUAUUGGG
This 233-nucleotide ribosomal RNA is filed under the name uncultured bacterium. Its description in RNAcentral is "partial 16S ribosomal RNA". It matches the Rfam family "Bacterial small subunit ribosomal RNA", at positions 333 to 558 of the family's 1533-position model. The record is from RNAcentral.